This 433-nucleotide ribosomal RNA is filed under the name uncultured bacterium. RNAcentral's name for it is "partial 16S ribosomal RNA". It matches the Rfam family "Bacterial small subunit ribosomal RNA", at positions 29 to 507 of the family's 1533-position model. The record is from RNAcentral.
AACGAACGCUGGCGGCAUGCCUAACACAUGCAAGUCGAACGAGACCUUCGGGUCUAGUGGCGCACGGGUGCGUAACGCGUGGGAACCUGCCCUUAGGUUCGGAAUAACUCCCCGAAAGGGGUGCUAAUACCGGAUAAUGUCUUCGGACCAAAGAUUUAUCGCCUUUGGAUGGGCCCGCGUUGGAUUAGCUAGUUGGUAGGGUAAAAGCCUACCAAGGCGACGAUCCAUAGCUGGUCUGAGAGGAUGAUCAGCCACACUGGGACUGAGACACGGCCCAGACUCCUGCGGGAGGAGGCGGUGGGGAAUAUUGGAGGAUGGGCGACUGCCUGAUCAACUCAUCCCGCGUGAGUAAUGACGGCCUGAUGGUUGUAACGUUCUUUUACCAGGGAUGAUAAGGAACGUACCGGGGGAAAAAGCCCCGGCUAAACCCGUG